Molecule: ribosomal RNA, 690 nt
Filed under: uncultured Acidobacteriota bacterium
Lineage: Bacteria; Pseudomonadati; Acidobacteriota
Description: bacterial SSU rRNA
Rfam family: Bacterial small subunit ribosomal RNA
Source: RNAcentral
GAUCCUGGCUCAGAAUCAACGCUGGCGGCGUGCCUAACACAUGCAAGUCGAACGCGAAAGCCUCGCAAGGGGCCAGUAGAGUGGCAAACGGGUGAGUAACACGUGGGUGACCUGCCUUCGAGUGGGGGAUAACGUCCCGAAAGGGACGCUAAUACCGCAUAACAUGCUGUUUUUGAACAGAUGGACAUCAAAGCUGGGGACCGCAAGGCCUGGCGCUUGAAGAGGGGCCCGCGCCUGAUUAGCUAGUUGGUGGGGUAAUGGCUCACCAAGGCAUCGAUCAGUAUCCGGCCUGAGAGGGCGGACGGACACACUGGGACUGAGACACGGCCCAGACUCCUACGGGAGGCAGCAGUGGGGAAUUGUUCGCAAUGGGCGCAAGCCUGACGACGCAACGCCGCGUGGAGGAUGAAGACCUUCGGGUCGUAAACUCCUUUCGAUCGAGACGAAUGGUCUCUGGGUGAAUAGCCCGGGGAAGUGACGGUACCGAGAGAAGAAGCCCCGGCUAACUCCGUGCCAGCAGCCGCGGUAAUACGGGGGGGGCAAGCGUUGUUCGGAAUUACUGGGCGUAAAGGGCUCGUAGGUGGCCAACUAAGUCAGACGUGAAAUCCCUCGGCUUAACCGGGGAACUGCGUCUGAUACUGGAUGGCUUGAGUUCGGGAGAGGGAUGCGGAAUUCCAGGUGUAGCGGUGA